This is a non-coding RNA of Potamilus streckersoni, 73 nucleotides long. NCBI's taxonomy places the organism in Eukaryota, Metazoa, Mollusca, Bivalvia, Unionida, Unionidae. The record is from the annotation of a GenBank genome assembly.
GCUCCAGUGGCUUAGUGAUUAGAGUAUCCACCUCAGAUGUGGGAGGUCAUGGGUUUGAUCCCCAGUUGAGUCA